UACGAAGGGGGCUAGCGUUGUUCGGAAUUACUGUGCGCAAAGCGCGCGCAGGCGGUUCUCCACGUCAGUGGUGAAAGCCCGGAGCUCAACUCCGGAACUGCCAUUGAAACUGCAGAACUUGAGGAUGAGAGAGGUGAGUGGAAUUCCUGGUGUAGCAGUGAAAUGCGUAGAUAUCAGGAGGAAUACCGAUGGCGAAGGCAGGUCUCUGGGCUAGAACUGACGCUCAUGCACGAAAGCGUGGGGAGCAAACAGG
This 253-nucleotide ribosomal RNA is filed under the name uncultured bacterium. Its description in RNAcentral is "partial 16S ribosomal RNA". It matches the Rfam family "Bacterial small subunit ribosomal RNA", at positions 524 to 776 of the family's 1533-position model. The record is from RNAcentral.